Camellia sinensis is the source of this 609-nucleotide long non-coding RNA. RefSeq lists it as uncharacterized. Lineage: Eukaryota; Viridiplantae; Streptophyta; Magnoliopsida; Ericales; Theaceae. The record is from RefSeq and is a predicted model, not a curated record.
UUUAUGUAUUCACAGAAUCGAAUUUUAAUCUGGACAUUCAUAUCACAACACAAACAACACACUCAAAUCUUCUUCAUCUUCUUCUUCUUUCUAGUGUCUCUGGUCUCCCUCUGUUUCUGUGAAUCUGAGUCACCCACGCAUCUUUCUCUGUGCAGUAUUUGAGUAUACAAGAAGUUGCAUGGCAGUGCAAGGUUAUUUUGUCAUCAAAGGUUGUCCAGACAAGGCACGAAUCCUUGGACCAAUCUAUAUUGUUACCUUGUUGUCUAACUGGGGUACUUUUUAUUCUUUACAUUGCUUGGCCAAAUGACAGCUUUAAAUAAGCUAGACUAGGUUUAGUAGGUGUUUAGUAAUCUAUAGUUGGCAUGGUUGAACAGAGAGUGAAUAGGAUUAUAUUUCCCCAACGAGAAAAAUAGUAUUAAUAGUUUCUUCUGGUUGUCAAAGAUGAGAGUAAAAAUUAGAUUAAUUCUUUGAAAAAAAAAGUUAAUUAUUGACCUUGUUUCAUGAUUCAUUGACUUUUAACAUAUUGUGCUUCUUAUGAAUGUAAUCUAAUCAUAAGUUGUCUGACUUGGGGACUCCUGAAAUAUUGAAAUUUUAAGCUGUUUUUCCUUA